RNAcentral lists this ribosomal RNA (449 nucleotides) under uncultured bacterium. RNAcentral's name for it is "SSU rRNA". It matches the Rfam family "Bacterial small subunit ribosomal RNA", at positions 26 to 518 of the family's 1533-position model. The record is from RNAcentral.
AGAGCGAACGCUGGCGGCAGGCCUAACACAUGCAAGUCGAGCGCCCGUAGCAAUACGGGAGCGGCAGACGGGAUAGUAACACGUGGGAACGCGCCCUUCGGUUCGGAAUAACUCAGGGAAACUUGAGCUAAUACCGGAUACGCCCUUACGGGGAAAGAUUUAUUGCCGAAGGAACGGCCCGCGUCCGAUUAGCUAGUUGGUGAGGUAAUGGCUCACCAAGGCGACGAUCGGUAGCUGGUCUGAGAGGAUGACCAGCAUCACUGGGACUGAGACACGGCCCAGACUCCUACGGGAGGCAGCAGUGGGGAAUAUUGGACAAUGGGCGCAAGCCUGAUCCAGCCAUGCCGCGUGGAUGAUGAAGGCCUUAGGGUUGUAAAGUCCUUUUAACGGGGAAGAUAAUGACGGUACCCGUAGAAUAAGCCCCGGCUAAACUUCGUGCCAGCAGCCGC